RNAcentral lists this ribosomal RNA (1552 nucleotides) under Escherichia coli. RNAcentral's name for it is "bacterial SSU rRNA". It matches the Rfam family "Bacterial small subunit ribosomal RNA". The record is from RNAcentral. Lineage: Bacteria; Pseudomonadati; Pseudomonadota; Gammaproteobacteria; Enterobacterales; Enterobacteriaceae.
AAAUUGAAGAGUUUGAUCAUGGCUCAGAUUGAACGCUGGCGGCAGGCCUAACACAUGCAAGUCGAACGGUAACAGGAAACAGCUUGCUGUUUCGCUGACGAGUGGCGGACGGGUGAGUAAUGUCUGGGAAACUGCCUGAUGGAGGGGGAUAACUACUGGAAACGGUAGCUAAUACCGCAUAAUGUCGCAAGACCAAAGAGGGGGACCUUCGGGCCUCUUGCCAUCGGAUGUGCCCAGAUGGGAUUAGCUUGUUGGUGGGGUAACGGCUCACCAAGGCGACGAUCCCUAGCUGGUCUGAGAGGAUGACCAGCCACACUGGAACUGAGACACGGUCCAGACUCCUACGGGAGGCAGCAGUGGGGAAUAUUGCACAAUGGGCGCAAGCCUGAUGCAGCCAUGCCGCGUGUAUGAAGAAGGCCUUCGGGUUGUAAAGUACUUUCAGCGGGGAGGAAGGGAGUAAAGUUAAUAUCUUUGCUCAUUGACGUUACCCGCAGAAGAAGCACCGGCUAACUCCGUGCCAGCAGCCGCGGUAAUACGGAGGGUGCAAGCGUUAAUCGGAAUUACUGGGCGUAAAGCGCACGCAGGCGGUUUGUUAAGUCAGAUGUGAAAUCCCCGGGCUCAACCUGGGAACUGCAUCUGAUACUGGCAAGCUUGAGUCUCGUAGAGGGGGGUAGAAUUCCAGGUGUAGCGGUGAAAUGCGUAGAGAUCUGGAGGAAUACCGGUGGCGAAGGCGGCCCCCUGGACGAAGACUGACGCUCAGGUGCGAAAGCGUGGGGAGCAAACAGGAUUAGAUACCCUGGUAGUCCACGCCGUAAACGAUGUCGACUUGGAGGUUGUGCCCUUGAGGCGUGGCUUCCGGAGCUAACGCGUUAAGUCGACCGCCUGGGGAGUACGGCCGCAAGGUUAAAACUCAAAUGAAUUGACGGGGGCCCGCACAAGCGGUGGAGCAUGUGGUUUAAUUCGAUGCAACGCGAAGAACCUUACCUGGUCUUGACAUCCACGGAAGUUUUCAGAGAUGAGAAUGUGCCUUCGGGAACCGUGAGACAGGUGCUGCAUGGCUGUCGUCAGCUCGUGUUGUGAAAUGUUGGGUUAAGUCCCGCAACGAGCGCAACCCUUAUCCUUUGUUGCCAGCGGUCCGGCCGGGAACUCAAAGGAGACUGCCAGUGAUAAACUGGAGGAAGGUGGGGAUGACGUCAAGUCAUCAUGGCCCUUACGACCAGGGCUACACACGUGCUACAAUGGCGCAUACAAAGAGAAGCGACCUCGCGAGAGCAAGCGGACCUCAUAAAGUGCGUCGUAGUCCGGAUUGGAGUCUGCAACUCGACUCCAUGAAGUCGGAAUCGCUAGUAAUCGUGGAUCAGAAUGCCACGGUGAAUACGUUCCCGGGCCUUGUACACACCGCCCGUCACACCAUGGGAGUGGGUUGCAAAAGAAGUAGGUAGCUUAACCUUCGGGAGGGCGCUUACCACUUUGUGAUUCAUGACUGGGGUGAAGUCGUAACAAGGUAACCGUAGGGGAACCUGCGGUUGGAUCACCUCCUUACCUUAAAGAA